GUCCGCGGCCGCACCACCCUGAACGCGCGCAGUCUCCUCUGAUCUCGGAAGCUGAGCUGGGUCGGCCCGGUCAGUGCAUGGACGGAGGGAAGGCCUGUCUGCGAACA
RNAcentral lists this ribosomal RNA (107 nucleotides) under Mustela putorius furo (domestic ferret). The record is from RNAcentral. Lineage: Eukaryota; Metazoa; Chordata; Mammalia; Carnivora; Mustelidae.